This 933-nucleotide ribosomal RNA is filed under the name Sarcocystis tenella. RNAcentral describes it as "SSU rRNA". It matches the Rfam family "Eukaryotic small subunit ribosomal RNA", at positions 73 to 942 of the family's 1831-position model. The record is from RNAcentral. Lineage: Eukaryota; Apicomplexa; Conoidasida; Eucoccidiorida; Sarcocystidae.
UUUAUACGGCGAAACUGCGAAUGGCUCAUUAAAACAGUUAUAGUUUAUUUGAUAGUCAUCUGAGAUGAAAGUCUACUACAUGGAUAACCGUGGUAAUUCUAUGGCUAAUACAUGCGCAAAUAUCCUUUUUCGCAAGGAAGAGGAUAGUGUUUAUUAGAUACAGAACCAAUACACCAGUGUCACAGCUGGUGUGAAAAAGGUGAUUCAUAGUAACCGAACGGAUCGCAUUAUGGUCAUUCUUUUGUAAUGGCUGGCGAUAGAUCAUUCAAGUUUCUGACCUAUCAGCUUUCGACGGUAGUGUAUUGGACUACCGUGGCAGUGACGGGUAACGGGGAAUUAGGGUUCGAUUCCGGAGAGGGAGCCUGAGAAACGGCUACCACAUCUAAGGAAGGCAGCAGGCGCGCAAAUUACCCAAUCCUGACUCAGGGAGGUAGUGACAAGAAAUAACAACACUGGAAAUUUUAUUUCUAGUGAUUGGAAUGAUGGGAAUUUAAACCCCUUUCAGAGUAACAAUUGGAGGGCAAGUCUGGUGCCAGCAGCCGCGGUAAUUCCAGCUCCAAUAGCGUAUAUUAAAGUUGUUGCAGUUAAAAAGCUCGUAGUUGGAUGUCUGCUGGAAGCAAUCAGUCCGCCCUAUUUGUAGGGUGUGCACUUGAUGAAUUCUGGCAUUUUUGUCCCAAUGAUGUAACGGGGCGGUGGUAUUCGGUGAAAGCCGAGUAUCCUGUUUUCCGAUUAUUGGGAUACUGUUACUUUGAGAAAAUUAGAGUGUUUGAAGCAGGCUAAUUGCCUUGAAUACUGCAGCAUGGAAUAACAAUAUAGGAUUUCGGUUCUAUUUUGUUGGUUUCUAGGACUGAAAUAAUGAUUAAUAGGGACAGUUGGGGGCAUUCGUAUUUAACUGUCAGAGGUGAAAUUCUUAGAUUUGUUAAAGACGAACUA